RNAcentral lists this unclassified non-coding RNA (244 nucleotides) under Hevea brasiliensis (rubber tree). Lineage: Eukaryota; Viridiplantae; Streptophyta; Magnoliopsida; Malpighiales; Euphorbiaceae. The record is from RNAcentral.
GAAAAAUAACAGCAACUAUGGUUCUGAAUAUCCACUAAACCUUAUAGGACUUGCAUGGGAGCUAUGGAUUGAACACAGAGGCUUAGAGUUGAUGGAUCCAACUUUGGAUGAAUCAUGCCCUCAUAAUGAAGUUCUAAGAUGCAUUCAUAUCGGACUCCUGUGCGUACAAGACCAGGCAACAAAUAGACCCACCAUGUCAGAUAUUGUUUCUAUGCUAACAAAUGAAACUUUAGAUCUACCUGCA